UUUCGGUUUAGAAUUCCUACGCUUUACCGUGUGAAAGGCUGGCAAAGCGUUUGGAUUCUGAAUCGAAC
This is a non-coding RNA of Tribolium castaneum (red flour beetle), 68 nucleotides long. The record is from Rfam. Lineage: Eukaryota; Metazoa; Arthropoda; Insecta; Coleoptera; Tenebrionidae.